RNAcentral lists this ribosomal RNA (471 nucleotides) under uncultured soil bacterium. RNAcentral's name for it is "bacterial SSU rRNA". It matches the Rfam family "Bacterial small subunit ribosomal RNA", at positions 26 to 523 of the family's 1533-position model. The record is from RNAcentral.
AGGACGAACGCUGGCGGCGUGCUUAACACAUGCAAGUCGAACGAGGUCCAUUCAGUAGCAAUACUGAUGGAGGCCGAGUGGCGAACGGGUGAGUAACACGUGAGAAACCUAUCCUGGUCUCUGGGAUAACAGUCGGAAACAACUGCUAAUACCGGAUGCCGUCGGAGCGCUGCAUGGCGCACUGACGAAAGGGUUACUGGAUCAGGAGGGUCUCGCGGCCUAUCAGCUUGUUGGUGGGGUAAUGGCCUACCAAGGCAUCGACGGGUAGCUGGUCUGAGAGGAUGAUCAGCCACACUGGGACUGAGACACGGCCCAGACUCCUACGGGAGGCAGCAGUGGGGAAUCUUGCGCAAUGGCGAAAGCCUGACGCAGCAACGCGCGUGCGGAGAAGGCUGGUGUAACGCUUCAGAAGAACGAAUGACGUAUUCGAGAAGAAGGUGCGGCCAACUACGUGUCAGCAGCCGACGGUAA